This 503-nucleotide ribosomal RNA is filed under the name uncultured bacterium. RNAcentral's name for it is "partial 16S ribosomal RNA". It matches the Rfam family "Bacterial small subunit ribosomal RNA", at positions 30 to 523 of the family's 1533-position model. The record is from RNAcentral.
AUUGAACGCUGGCGGCAGGCUUAACACAUGCAAGUCGAGCGGGGUGAUGGUGCUUGCACUAUCACUUAGCGGCGGACGGGUGAGUAAUGCUUAGGAAUCUGCCUAUUAGUGGGGGACAACAUCUCGAAAGGGAUGCUAAUACCGCAUACGUCCUACGGGAGAAAGCAGGGGAUCAUUUGUGACCUUGCGCUAAUAGAUGAGCCUAAGUCGGAUUAGCUAGUUGGUGGGGUAAAGGCCUACCAAGGCGACGAUCUGUAGCGGGUCUGAGAGGAUGGUCCGCCACACUGGGACUGAGACACGGCCCAGACUCCUACGGGAGGCAGCAGUGGGGAAUAUUGGACAAUGGGGGGAACCCUGAUCUAGCCAUGCCGCGUGUGUGAAGAAGGCCUUAUGGUUGUAAAGCACUUUAAGCGAGGAGGAGGCUCUUUUGGUUAAUACCCAAGAUGAGUGGACGUUACUCGCAGAAUAAGCACCGGCUAACUCUGUGCCAGCAGCCGCAGUAA